Long non-coding RNA from Pseudoliparis swirei, 2874 nucleotides. RefSeq lists it as uncharacterized. NCBI's taxonomy places the organism in Eukaryota, Metazoa, Chordata, Actinopteri, Perciformes, Liparidae. The transcript has 2 exons. The record is from RefSeq and is a predicted model, not a curated record.
GACGUCAACUACAACGCUGGAGGUCACCGGAGGAAAUCCAGCGCCUUGCAACAAAGAGCUCAUCACCGAAGACCAACGCUGCAGUGCGUUCUUCAUUCUGUUCCACGAGACUCUGGACCAGACCACCGCGAGACUCUGGACCAGACCACCACGAGACUCUGGACCAGACCACCACGAGACUCUGGACCAGACCACCACGAGACUCUGGACCAGACCACCGCGAGACUCUGGACCAGACCACCACGAGACUCUGGACCAGACCACCGCGAGACUCUGGACCAGACCACCACGAGACUCUGGACCAGACCACCAUGAGACUCUGGACCAGACCACCGCGAGACUCUGGACCAGACCACCACGAGACUCUGGACCAGACCACCGAGAGCAGACAGCUGGACUUCAUGUGCUCUCGGUUCAGUGACCAGGUCCAGUCAGGAUCCUAUGGAGCUCAUGGGCCAUGACACCAGGACCUACUUCAGCACCUCAAAGAGAAUGGACCAAAUGUCAACUGGAAGUUUUUAUAUUAAUACAGUUUGAAAAGGAUUGUUUUCCUAGUAUAUUCACAAAAGCUCAGCAGUAGACAUGAACCUGUGCACAAACAUCCAUCACAUAGAGACAUGAGAACUCACACUCACUCACCCACACACACAUACAUUCUAUUAUGUAAAUGAAUUUGCAUUUUAAAAGCAGCUGGAAAUGCUAUUUGUUAUUUUAUGGAUUUUUUUUGUUCAAAAGGAACUAUGUUGCAUGUAUUUUCUAAAUAUAUUUACUUAAUUUUAGAGAUAUUUGUUCAUGGGACUUAAAUGUUCUGAAAAUGUAUUAAUAAAUAUAAUUUACAACAGCAAUGACAUUUGUGUUAUCCUUUUGCAUUACACCAUACUGUUAAUUUUGAACAGACAUCAGUGUGUUUACUUUGAAUUAAUUAAUUUAGAUUAAUGUAUAUUUCCAUCGUAAAUUAGGUCUUAAAUUUUAUUUAGACGUGGUCUUAAAAAGUCUUAAAUUUCACUGGUUUAUUCCUGUAGACACCCUGCUGUUGUUGUUGGGUUCUUCCUGCAUGUUUAUACUGGGUGAGAUUUGAGAUUUAGUUUGAGCUCCUAACUGUUGGUCAGAUGUGGUUAAAAUCCUCCACUAGGGGCAGAAGAGCAGUGAGAAGCUGCUGGAGGAUUUAUCUCUGCAGUAGAUUUGAGGUCUCAGUCUUUAAUCCUCUGAACCCCAAAACCAUCGAGAUGGAGCAGCAUGUUUUCAUCAGUCACAGCAAGAAGCUGUAGAUAUUACUCUGUGGGCAGAUCUCAUCUUUACCGACGGUCCUCGAAUGCAACAUUUUCAACAAGCAGCAGAAAAAUGAAGAUUAUGUUUAAAAUGUCAUCAAACAUUAAUAUACGAUAAAAUAUCGGCCAAAAUAAUCAUUUUUCUUGAAGCAGAUUCCUUUAAAUAAAAAUAUAUUGUACGUUCUUCAAAGCAACUAUGAAGUCAUGAUUUAUUCAAGACUAACAAGUCAUGUGACAUCAAUGCUGUGACUGACAGAGCAGAGAGGUUGUAAUGUGUGUGUGUAUAUAUAUAUUAGUGCUGUGAAAAAUAACUCAGUUAAUUCAAUUUCAGGUUUAACUAGUUUUUUUUUUUUAACGCAUUUAACGCAUGCGCAGAAUGAGCUUCCAAUCUGUCUGUUGUUGGUCGUCGGGACGAAAAAAAAGUCACUUGCAAAAUGAGCUUCCAAUCCACCACUUCAAUCUGAACCCUGUCCGCUCUCAUGCAGACGGUCUGUUCAUCGGUAAUGAUCCUUCCGCAGGUUCACCUCCGGAAACCUUGUUACGACUUUUACUUCCUGUAGAUCAGGGUCUCAACACGUCGAUCGCGACCUGCCAGUCGAUCGCGGCGUUGUGUCGGUAGAUCGCAUGACAUUAAAGAGAUUGGCCCGCCCCCUGGCAUGUUCUCUAGAGCACGUCUUUGUUCUUUUAUUAAACUAAACGUCUGUUGUUGAUCGUAUCUCCACAGCAGCAUGUCAAGCAAAAAAAAAGUCACUUGUCAAUCUGUCCACCUGUCCGUGUCGGUGAGGUUUCAGCUUUGCAGCGGUGUCCCCGCCGUCCCUUUCAUCACGGCCCAGUUCAUGAAGAAAACCCCCAGUCAGUUUGCCUCAGCAGCUGCUAGAGGAAGACUAGAGGCCUUUAGAUUGUAUCAUGGUGGAGUUAAUGUUUGACAAACAAGAGAAAAAUGCUCUGUUUAACCCUAACCCUGUUACCUUUACAUUUACUAACAUGUUUUACCCUCGGGGUCAAUUUGACCCCAGCAAUUAAAACCUCCAGAAAAUUAUUAUAUUAUUUUAUGUUUGUUUGUUGACUACCUAAAUAGCCCUUUAAAUAUAUAAAAAAGUUGAUAUUUCUUAUAUGUUUGACACAGUGAAAAACAGCCUGGGGUCAAAUUGACCCCAAAGAACACCGACAUUAAACAUUGAAUGGGGUCAAAUUGACCCGAAAGGUAACAGGAGGGUUAAACAUUCUGUUUAGGAUGAAGAUGUAUUAAUGUUCCAGAUGGAAGAAAACUGCUAAAUAACUGCUGAGUUGCAGCACCAUUGUAUAGAAGAAUGUAUAAAUGUAUAUAUCCGUCUUUUGUCAUAAAUCUCUAUGUUCUCACAAAAUAUACCGAGAAUAUCGGUAAUAUGUGAUUAAUCAUGAUUAAUCCACAAAAACCUGUGAUUAACCCGAUUAAAAUUUUUAGUCGUUUCACAGCCCUAAUAUAUAUAUAUAUUCAUGUCCUUUUUAGAUUUAGGAUUCAACCUUUAGGAGGCAGGAGGAGCGGUGAUGACGCUUUUGGUUUUGAUCAGCGAUGAAAACACCCGACCAAUUCCUCUAAGAAGUUCUGAGCUCCAACUCACAAAAA